CAGUAGCCGCGGUAAUACGGAGGGUGCGAGCGUUAAUCGGAUUUACUGGGCGUAAAGCGUGCGUAGGCGGCUAAUUGAGUCGGAUGUGAAAUCCCCGAGCUUAACUUGGGAAUUGCAUUCGAUACUGGUUAGCUAGAGUGUGGGAGAGGAUGGUAGAAUUCCAGGUGUAGCGGUGAAAUGCGUAGAGAUCUGGAGGAAUACCGAUGGCGAAGGCAGCCAUCUGGCCUAACACUGACGCUGAGGUACGAAAGCAUGGGGAGCAAACAGGAUUAGAUACCCCGGUAGUCCCUGUCUCUUAUAC
Molecule: ribosomal RNA, 301 nt
Filed under: uncultured bacterium
Lineage: Bacteria
Description: partial 16S ribosomal RNA
Rfam family: Bacterial small subunit ribosomal RNA
Source: RNAcentral